Molecule: ribosomal RNA, 466 nt
Filed under: uncultured bacterium
Lineage: Bacteria
Description: partial 16S ribosomal RNA
Rfam family: Bacterial small subunit ribosomal RNA
Source: RNAcentral
CUACGGGUUGCUGCAGUCGAGAAUAGUCUACAAUGGACGAAAGUCUGAUAGUGCGACGCCGCGUGGAUGAAGAAGCAUUUCGGUGUGUAAAGUCCUUUUCUGUGUGAGCAAUGUUUUCCAGGUUAAUAGCUUGGAGAAAGCGAUAUUAACACAGGAAUAAGCUCCGGCUAACUCCGUGCCAGCAGCCGCGGUAACACGGGGGGAGCAAGCGUUGUCCGGAAUUACUAGGCGUGAAGGGUAAGUAGGCGGAAUUGUAAGUCAGAUGUUAAAGGCACCGGCUCAGCCGGUGUAUGGCAUUUGAUACUGUAAUUCUAGAGUAAGGUGGGGGAAGACGGAAUUCCUGGUGUAGCGGUGGAAUGCGCAGAUAUCAGGAGGAACACCAGAGGCGCAGGCGGUCUUCUAUACCAUUACUGACGCUCAAUUACGAAGGUGUGGGUAUCAAACAGGAUUAGAUACCCGAGUAGUC